This 1073-nucleotide long non-coding RNA is filed under the name Lathyrus oleraceus (garden pea). RNAcentral describes it as "Pisum sativum (pea) long non-coding RNA (PSAT_LNC010538)". The record is from RNAcentral. Lineage: Eukaryota; Viridiplantae; Streptophyta; Magnoliopsida; Fabales; Fabaceae.
UUGAAUUUCACAUCCAUUUAAAUAUUACAACUAAAUUAGCAUUUUACAUUUCCAUUUCAAAUUUGUAUUUCAAUUUCAAUUUGCUACACAUUUCCAUUUAUAUUACAUUUGAAUUUGCAUUUCAUUUCUAAGAAACUAAAACUAACUCUAAACCACCACUAAACUAGCUUUUCAACUAAUUUUUGCUCCAAAAUUCAAUUAUAAAAGCAAUCAUCACCUUCACCAUGAGAAAAUAAUCACAAUUCACCAAUUUUCAUCUCCUAACAAACAUCACACUUCAGUAUCUCCUUCAUUUUCAUCUUCAUCACACCUUCAACUCCUUUCUUCAACCUAAGACAUCUUCAUCCAUCAAGUUACCAUCAUCAUCAUCAAUUCACAAGUCCACCACUCUUCUUAAAACCAUUUCUUCUUCAUAUUCAUCUUUACUCUCCAAACCUUCAUCUUCCAUAAUCACCAUCGACCUCCACCAUCACCAUUUCAUCUUGAAUCUUCAACUUCUCUUCAUUACCAUAUUCAAUCUUCAUAUUCAUCAACUUCUACAACUCCCUCCAUUAUCAUCAUCACCUUCAAGAAUUCAAUACCAAAACCAUAUUCACAAUAAAUCACAACAACAACAACAACAACAAGAAAUCGAAACAAGAAAAAGAAGCAAGAAACUGCCUUAGAUAUUUCAUCGAGUACGUGGUUAACAAAGCGUGAAAAGGUGAUAACGAUAACAACUCUCCGCUAAUUCACAAACCAAAAACUAAGCAUCAAUUGGAAACAACAACGAAUCAACACAACAACGAUUUUGGAAUAAAAAUCAAACUGAAAGAAGAAGAAGAAGAGAACUCACAAUAAAAAGAGAACUCACUGAUAAAACACAAGAACAACCGUGAAACACAACCACUGCCACUUCUGUUGUUACCUCAGAGCCCCGGCGCACCAUCUUCUAUGUCGGACCUUAUUGUUAUGCCAUAAAACACUAGAGCCACACCUUUCCUCGCCCAAAUUACGCCACCAUCGCAUUCGGUUUCGACAGUAAUCCCUUCUCGUUCUUUGUUUAUGAAUCAAUAUGUCAAUUGUUUAUUAGC